CGGAGGGUGCAAGCGUUGUCCGGAUUUAUUGGGUUUAAAGGGUGCGUAGGCGGCUUAAUAAGUCCGUGGUGAAAGCCAACAGCUCAACUGUUGAACUGCCAUGGAUACUGUUAGGCUUGAGUACAGACGAGGUAGGCGGAAUUGAUGGUGUAGCGGUGAAAUGCAUAGAUACCAUCAAGAACACCGAUUGCGAAGGCAGCUUACUAGGCUGUAACUGACGCUGAGGCACGAAAGCGUGGGGAGCGAACAGGAUUAGAUACCCUGGUAGUCCACGCUGUAAACGAUGAUGACUCGAUGUGGGCGAUACACAGUCCGCGUCUUAGCGAAAGCGUUAAGUCAUCCACCUGGGGAGUACGCCCGCAAGGGUG
Molecule: ribosomal RNA, 368 nt
Filed under: uncultured organism
Description: bacterial SSU rRNA
Rfam family: Bacterial small subunit ribosomal RNA
Source: RNAcentral